GACGAACGCUGGCGGCGUGCCUAAUACAUGCGAGUCGAACGAGAGCACCCUGUGCUUGCACUGGUCAAUCUAGUGGCGAACGGGGGAGUAACACGUGGGUAACCUGCCCAUCAGAGGGGGAUAACAUCCGGAAACGGAUGCUAAAACCGCAUAGGUCUUCGAACCGCAUGGUUGGAAGAGGAAAAGAGGCGCAAGCUUCUGCUGAUGGAUGGACCCGCGGUGCAUUAGCUAGUUGGUGAGGUAAAGGCUCACCAAGGCCGUGAGCCAUAGCGGGCCUGAGAGGGUGAUCGGCCACAUUGGAACUGAGACACGGCCCAUACUCCUGCGGGAGGCAGCAGUAGGGAAUCUUCCGCAAUGGACGCAAGUCUGACGCAGCAAGGCCGCGUGAGUGAAGAAGGUUUUCGGAUCGUAAAGCUCUGUUGUUGGUGAAGAACAACUGCUGGAGUAACUGUUAGCGCCUUGACGGUAUCUAACCAGAAAGCAACGGCUAACUACGUG
This 498-nucleotide ribosomal RNA is filed under the name uncultured bacterium. RNAcentral's name for it is "partial 16S ribosomal RNA". It matches the Rfam family "Bacterial small subunit ribosomal RNA", at positions 28 to 507 of the family's 1533-position model. The record is from RNAcentral.